CAGAAGUAUGUGCAUAGCAUAAUCCACUAUAGUUAUCAUUGAGCAUUCAGAAAAAGCCUCAAGAAUAUCCCAGAGCACUGCUAAGGUUAAUUGACUGCUUGAAGGCGUCAGUACACACUCCAGAAAAUAAUAAUUUUUGGACUGAAAUUGACAGUUCUGCAUUCACUGUCUGUGACUCUCAGAUAAGCACUGUCCUGUCUUGAAGCUGAAUUUGUCCUGUCUUGAAGCCGAAUUAUCUGAGGUAGCUGAAUGAUGCAGAACUGGUGAAGGUGGGUGUUUACAGCAGGUCUCUCUGGGACUAACCCAUUGCUUAAGACACCUUAAAGCAAGGUACUAGGGGAGGGUCUGUACUAUGCCAAGCUGCAAUAACCGGUAUUUUUGGCAGCAGGCAGAUUCCAUACCUUUCCUGUCACUGUAGACAGACAGAGCAGUCACAGGUAGUCAUGGUUAUAUCAAAAUACUAAAUAUCCAAAGAUGUUAUAUUCAGGUAGGGCUCAGAGAUGUAGUUGACAAAAAAAUAAAUAAAUGAACAUCCAGAAUAUUAUUGUGCUGUAAAUCAACUGCCAUCACUGUGCAGAGCCAGCUGAGUUCUGAUGCAUGAUGCAUCGGUAUGUUCUGUACCACGCGUGCUGCUGUGUUGGACACCUAGGGGCACAUCUGUGGUAGUAAUUUGUUACCUGAGUCUCGUAACAGGAGGAUGAGGUUAAGCUUAAGUAUAAGGGGAAGACAUGAAGGAAUCAGAAGAUACCAGCCUGAAUCUUUCAAGCUGGUAGUUACUGAGAUGGUUUGCAGCCUCAAGUGUUGCCUGAAGUCUCUGCUCUGAAAGUCGUUGCUGUUGUGAUUACUGUUCUAUAUGAACAGCUGGAUACAUAUCUGAACAGUAUGUUCAGCUGAGGCUCUCACCGAAAAGCCAGCACUGGCAAGGCUCACCAGCUCCAGCAAUGACGUACUCUCCAGCAGGCUGGCAGAUGUGUGCGUAUGUGUGUGCGUCUAUCUCUGUAUAAAUAACAGCCGUGUAGGUGAGGCUGUCUGUCUGAACACCUAAGAAUGUCUUUUGGCUGCAGGGUUUUCCUUGUUCCCAGUUCUUCAAAUGACCACAUUAAUCCUGUUCACAGCAAUCUCAGUACAAACUGUUUUCUGGGAGAGGAGAGUUAUUGGUUUUAGGACAAAUGCAUAUCAUUGAAGCAGGUGAGUACAUGUAGUGCAUUUCUUACUGUUGGAUGAUCAUUCUGUAUACUCCAUAUGCUUCAGCACUGUCUGUACAAACAGUAAAUCAAGUACUGAGAGCCUUCAGAGGGAUCUGUACCUUCUGAAGAGCUCUGGGACUUUUUCCAUCUCCGCAACUUACCCGGUGGUCUCUGCUGCAUCAUCCUCAGAACUGAACCCAGAGACCUUCAGCACCGUGGUGUGGAGUACUUGAGCAGAUACUGAUCAAAUGACCGGUGGUGCUUCCUUCCUGGGAACAGAUGUCUUCUCAAGAAUAUCUCUGUCUGGCAGACUAAUGCCUCAGUGCCUCCUUGCCAGCGAAACAAAACAACCUGUAGUUUAAGAAAACCUGUCAAAAUUACUUAGAUGAAUGGUUCAAGUAAUUAGUUUAAGGAGACUGGAUCAAUAACUGGUUAAAUGAACGGCUUGAUUCAAAAAAAAGCCUCAGGUUUGGCCCCGUCUGAGAAAGUUUUAGCAGUUUGGCUGGGCUUGGUGAUGCUGUUCGUUCACUCUUGUAUGGGGUUGGUUGGUUGUGUUUGUUUGUUUUACCUCUGUUUGUUUUGCAUGGUUUUUCUUGUUCAGUAUAUGAGUAGAAAAACAGCAGCUGCAGAAGAAGAAAUUCUCCUCUUGAGCACGCUGCUUAAGGAUGUGGAUCAAGAGGCCAGCUGACCGUAGGGGAUUUAAGAGAGGGUAUUGAGAUUUUCUGUAGCACCUUGAACUCAACCAAUCCAUCAGUGCUCGGUAACUAUUUGAUCCACACAAAACAGCAAGUUAUAAUGCACAUCAAAGAGCCUGUCUGUACUGCUGCUCACUGCCGUUUCGUCCUUAGCUGUCAGGCCCUGCAGAGUGCUGAAGCAGCUCGCCUAAGGCUACAGAUAUAAUCUGUUACAGGGUUGUAAUUAGGAGCAUUAGCCUGCUGGUCAUUCUUUUGGUCUCUCUUAUCUUGUUUUUUUCCUGACUAAGAGCCCACCUGAGGCACUCUUCAGAAAAUUCAGGUCAAAUUUUUCAACUCCAGGAGUGUUAGUAUAUCUGGUCCCAGAUUCAGCAUUCCAAUCCAUCUCUUCUCAAACUGACACCACGCUAUGGCCAUUCAAGAACUGAGACACAAUAGAGGUUCUGAUAGUCCUUUCAUCUUAGCAAAUAUCCUUCUAAGUUCUUCACUGAAUAUUUUACAUUUCUGUUCAGUAUAUAUUGAAAGCCGUUACAUAGCAAGAUAGGUAACUGCUCCUUUAGGUUAGCGUUCUC
Molecule: long non-coding RNA, 2451 nt
Filed under: Gallus gallus (chicken)
Lineage: Eukaryota; Metazoa; Chordata; Aves; Galliformes; Phasianidae
Description: lncRNA (ENSGALG00010015965.1)
Source: RNAcentral